GACGUAGGGGGCCAGCGUUGCUCGGAAUUACUGGGCGUAAAGGGUUCGUAGGCGGUGCGGCAAGUUCGGAGUGAAAUCUCCCGGCUCAACCGGGAGGCUGCUUCGAAAACUGCUGUGCUCGAGUCCGGGAGAGGCGCGUGGAAUUGCAGGUGUAGCGGUGAAAUGCGUAGAUAUCUGCAGGAACACCAGAGGCGAAAGCGGCGCGCUGGACCGGUACUGACGCUGAGGAACGAAAGCUAGGGGAGCAAACAGG
RNAcentral lists this ribosomal RNA (253 nucleotides) under uncultured bacterium. RNAcentral's name for it is "partial 16S ribosomal RNA". It matches the Rfam family "Bacterial small subunit ribosomal RNA", at positions 524 to 776 of the family's 1533-position model. The record is from RNAcentral. RNAcentral also lists the same sequence under 2 other names.